RNAcentral lists this long non-coding RNA (2089 nucleotides) under Bos indicus x Bos taurus (hybrid cattle). Its description in RNAcentral is "lncRNA (ENSBIXG00000013054.1)". The record is from RNAcentral. Lineage: Eukaryota; Metazoa; Chordata; Mammalia; Artiodactyla; Bovidae.
UCCCUGUUGAAAAAAGAAAUUAGACUGAAAAGAGAUUUUUAAAUAAAAGCAGCUUCAGUCUCAAACAUUUUUUUUCUCUUUUUCCUGUUUCUUCAACAGACACACUUAAGAGCAUGAUGAGCAAAGCCCCUAAAUGAUGAUUUCCCAAGACCCCAAGAAGUCUGCGCCUCGAAGUCACUCCAAAGAAUGCCUGUCUUUCUUCCUCUUGGGUUGUGCCCCUGAUACCACCACAACCAGUUGAAAGGUUGCUCACGGCAGCACGCGGUGAGGUGGCAGAGACCUGGAAACAACCGCAGGCCCUCCGACCCGAAUACACCGAAACACAGCGAAAGACGGUGGCACCUCCAGCCCCUGGACUAUCAGGCAGCUGCAAGCUGGAUGGGUGUGUCUUUUACAAUCAGAACUGCUCCUCCAAAGUAAUAUAAAAAACUCUGUGGGCCUAAAAGCCUAAUAACUCUAAACUAUCCAGAGUAGCUACUCUGCUAAUUAUUUGUGAACUAUGUCUGUCAUAAAUCUAGACUUCCACUUGCAUUUUUUAAAAAAGAUGUCACAACAUAUUUCUGGGAGAGUUUUGCAAAACUAGCUCAACAUUUUAGCAGGAUCGGACAACCUGUGGUUUCCUAGAACAUCCCAGAAAAAUCAGAGCUGAGGACGACUUCCACACUUCCUGUUGUGUCUGGAAGAUAAUGACACGGCGUGGACAGUUUAAGGAAGACAGGGGCAUCUCGCUGCUUUGGUGUCUGGAAACAGAGCGUGGAGGAAAGUUGCUGAUGCCCGUGGUGCCCUCUUCUAUGCAAUUCGGGCAAAUGGCUCCAGGCAAACAGACCCACUGAGCGGUUGCCAUGGUCUGCUGAGAAAUUCGAAAAACAAAGAAAGCCUAAAAAUGUUGGCAUGUUGAAACAACUUGUAUCUUCUGCCAAAGUCAGCUUCAGCCCUCGGAACUCACACCGUUCGCACGUGGAGUCGGUAGUCCAGCAGCUUCUCAGAUCAAGGUGCUACGCUGGCAGAGGCACCCUGCAGGCUCUGACCCCUGAGUGGAUGGCCUGGAGAGCUGUGCCUCCCCUGGGUGCUGACCUCAGAAGCAGCUGAUCCUAUGGACACAGGAGAGUCGGCAGCGGCAGCUCAGCAUCAAGUCCACUGACAGCAAGAGCACCGUCUCCAGUUGGACAACUUUAAUACGAAAGUAGCUGUGAGAGGCCCCGGCGGGGCAGGGGCACCCAGAUCCUCAGGGCGCUGUUGCGUGGCAUCUUGAGAGCUCCGUUAGGCUGCCUUCUUCAGGUCAGAGUUCUACGGGCUGAAAUAAGCACUUCCGUGUUACUGCAGCAAGACUGUGGGCUUCCAGUGAGCUUGGAAACACUCAGGAGCAAGCCACACACGUACCCCACCUGCCCCAGCCGUGUGCAAGUGUGCACACCCAGCUGCGAGAGGACGCAGAGCUGCUCGGUGUGGUGGGAGGAAGACCCGCCUGGGCUGUCAGGCUUCCGAGCCUCUUGGCGGCCCUUCCACCACCACCACCGAGGGCCGGCCCUUCAGGCACUUGACAGGGUUUCAAGGAUCCACUGACCGCCGCCCAGCACUUGUCAGAGGCGUCCGGGACACCUGACAGCUAUGGGAUGGGGUCUGUCGACUCUUCCUAGAGUCUCAGAGUGCUGGUUCUGCACGAAGUGACACCGUGAGAAAGCAAUAUAUUCAAAUCGUGUUUGCACAGUUUCCUUCAGCCAGUAAUAUUAUCUAUGUGAAUUUUUAAGCUGAAUUUUUAUUCUUUUAGAAGUUAUACAGAGGUUACAGAAUCAAACGGUUGCCCGAGACCUGUGAUAAAAAGCAUGGACCUCCACCUCCAGUUUCCCAUUCCCCAGAGGCGACUAACUUUUACUCUUUGAGCUGAUUGUUUUCGUACUUACCAUGUCUAAAUGAUACGCUUUUCUGACUAGUUCCUAGUUCUCGGUUUUCAUUCCAUCUAUGGACAUUCCACAGGGGAAAAUGUGGACUUGGCUCCCCAUAGCCCCGCUCUACUCGAUGACCCUGACUGUCCUUUCUGUGCAUUUACCCCUUCUUUUUGGUGGAGUGUGUCCUUCAGUAGCUUCCUGAG